RNAcentral lists this ribosomal RNA (330 nucleotides) under Triticum aestivum (bread wheat). RNAcentral's name for it is "partial small subunit ribosomal RNA". Lineage: Eukaryota; Viridiplantae; Streptophyta; Magnoliopsida; Poales; Poaceae. The record is from RNAcentral.
AUGAUGCUUCUAUGGGUUGAAUUAAUUUGCUUAUUCAGUAACAAUGCUACUACUGGGACAGGCAGUUUUUCUUCUUUGAUGGUAAGAGAUGGAACUUAUAGACGACGUAAUGCCGGUGCUCUGGGAAAGAAGCUGAAUGAUCUGGGAAUUCCCAGAAGCACCUUGGUUUCUAAGACGGUCGCUACACCGCGACUCCGCCCGCCGUGCUCGACUUUGAGGGAUUAUGCUACUCAAGCAUCUUGCCGUGAAAUCAGAGAUGUCCUGGAGCACCAAGCAUCUGUUCGGUCUUUGGUUUUCUGGUUUAAUAUGAUCUAUCUGGUGCUAUCAUGA